Helianthus annuus (common sunflower) is the source of this 3925-nucleotide long non-coding RNA. RefSeq lists it as uncharacterized. The transcript is spliced from 7 exons. The record is from RefSeq and is a predicted model, not a curated record. NCBI's taxonomy places the organism in Eukaryota, Viridiplantae, Streptophyta, Magnoliopsida, Asterales, Asteraceae.
UUAGAUAUACUUGGGGUGUUGCUAUCGUAUAUACCAUUUGAUUUCCCUCUAAAACCAAAAUUUAAGUGAGAAAAAACUUCCCAAAAUCUCCCGUUCAUACUAAAAUCCCUUCUGAAUACAUCAUCAUCAGAUUCAUAGUCCACCUAAAAGUGAAAACCCUAAAACCCGUGGGAGAUAGGGGGAUCACAUAUAUUGUCGUUUGAUCCAAUUCACCUGGUAUGGUUUCAAACUUCAGUUCUUGCGAUUGCUAUUAUGUUCUUACUAUCAAUAAUUUUAAUUAAGCGUUGGUUUGCUAUUAUGUAUCUUCCAUACAUCUUGUAUUGAACAUUAUUUAGGUGUUUAAUUUUGACCUCUUUAAGAUCCUUUGAUUGUUAUAGAUGUCGAUCUUAUAAUGUUUGUUUUCUGCUUCAUGUUUAUUCAUUACGGUUGAUGAAAUUAAGCAUUGGAUCGGUAUAUCUUUCACUUUUUAGAAAAUAAGUGAUGUAUUAUGUAUUUUGUGUGCCAAUAUUAACCUCUUUAGCCUCCUUUGUUUGUUAUAGCCUUCGGUUAUUAUGAUAUUUGCUUCUGGUUUCAUGUUUAUUAAUAAAGUCGUUGAGAUUAAGUGUUGAAUCACCAAAUCGAUGUAUGUAUUACUUUUUAGAAAGUAAAUGAUGUAUAAAAUGAUGUAUUAUGUAAUUUGUUUGAUAAUUUCAACGUCUUUCAUCUUCUUCGAUUGUUUCAGCAGUUGAGUUUCAUGAUUUGAGCUUCUUGCUUUAUGUCAAAUUAUGUUAUUGGUUGAAAUUAAACUGCAAAUCAAUAUGUUUACCUUUUGGAAAACAAAUUGAUGUGUUAUUUUUACCCCUUUUCGCUUCUUGGAUUGUUUGCUUCCUGUUUCAUGUUUAUUCAUUAUGUAUGUUGAAAUUAAGCAUUAAGUUGGUGUGUCCAUUAGUCUUUAGGAAAUAAAUGAUGUAGUAUGUAUCAGGUUUAUUAAUAUAACCUUUUUAGUUUUUUCAAUUGUUAUAGCCGAAGACUCUCAUGAUAUGUGCUUCAUGUUUAAUUAUUAUAGUAGUUAUACUUAAGCAUCAAAUUGGUAUGUCCAUUACCUUUUAGAAAACAAAUUGAUGUGUUAUUUCUCAUAUCUUUUGGCUCGUUUGAUUGUUAGACCACCCGGUGUGGGGCAACGCCCCCGUUGCCCCAGCCACCCCAGCUGGGUGGCGCCCCAACACCUUCCAUGCUCUGCCAAGAUGAGGGAGCUAUGGUUGCUCAGCCUUGUUGAUGGCGAGCAUUAAAGGGGGAGGAGGUGGGGACCAACCAAUCAGGUUUGUUUUUUUAUUUCUUUUAUUAUAUAGUUAACGGGGGCUUUAUUCCACACCGUGCAAGUUGAUGAUAAAGCCCCCCCACUUACGUGGCGUGAUAAAGCCACCAGGGGCUUUAUCCCACACCGUAUAGCCUUAUAGUUCCUAUUCUUAUGGUUUGUGUUCCUGCUUCAUGUUCAUUAAUUAUAUGUGAUGUCAAUUUGUUGCUCAGUGCCCCCUUAAUGAUUCUUUUCUGGUGUGGACUAUAUCUUGUGGUAGAGACCAUUAGUUUGAAACUUUGAUUAGGGUUAAUCUAACCAUUCCAUCUGAAACUUUAUAUUUUAAUUCUUGGACUUUUAAAUAUAGACGAGUAGAAUUCUAAGUCAUUAUGGUGAUCAAUUUCGGUUCAAAACAGAUCCUACCAUGUAAAUGACUCAAAGAACAAUAGGUUGCCCUGUAAUUCGUGGACUUUUCACAUGAUGUAAGCAAAGUGCUUUUGGAUUAGGAAUUUGUUAUUUUGAAAGCAUUGACUUUUUGCCUAAUUUUCUUGGUUAUUUAAAAUUUAGUAAUGCUGGAAUGGCUGAUCAUCUUCCUUCACUGACCUUUAUUGCUAUGAAAUACUAGUUUUUACUUGCUUAGCAUGCUAUAAAUGACAUUAAAAGGAAUCUUGUUAGUCUGAUGUUCAUGUUACUGUAUAGACAAGUAUAAAAGAGUGACAAAUGUAGCUUAUUUAACUUACCAUCUUUGCGCCUUGCGUACGAAAAGCUCAUCGCUUUUGCGCUUUGCGCCUCGGUUUAGACCUCGUCCCUUUUGUGUGCUUCCCGAUUUUUUUAAACCAAGCUCAUGGCAGAUCAUCGUUCUGAUAAGGUGUGAGUACAGAUAAUGUUUCUGUUAAAAGUGUGGAAUCGGAAUCAGCUGGUGUGGCAAAUCAACAUUCUGAUGCUGCAAAUAAACAUUCAGAUAAAGGUGACAUAAUAGCUGAAGUUGCACUUGAAAGUUUGAAACCGAAAGGUGGUGUAGAGAAACAGCCAGAUAAAGAUGAAACUAUAGCUGCAGUUGCUCGUGUUGCGGAUGAACAUUCAGAUAAAGGUGACAGAAUAGCUGAAGUUGCAAUUGAAAGUCUGAAAUCAGAAGGUGUUGCAGAUAAACGUCCGGAUGAAGGUGAAAGUAUAGCUGAAGUUGCUCUAGAUGCUUUGAAAUCAAAAGGUGUUGCAGAUAAACAUUCAGAUGAAGCGGCUUCUGGAUCAACGGUGGAGGUUAAUAUUAAGGCACACAUGUCACUCUUCUUCAGUCCCCGCUUAUCCUCUUUUUUUUCUUUUGUAAAUAAAAAACAGAUGUUAGUUUCAACAUUCAAGGAGACUAUAGCUAGUGAAGUCGGCCUUCCAGUUGAUCAGCAGCGGCUGAUUUUUAGAGGCAAGGUGUUUAAAGAUGAAGACCGUCUUUCAGAAUACCGUAUCCUAUAAUCAUGUCACAUAGUAUUAGGUUGUCAAGUGUAGAAUGUGUGUGUGUAUAUAUAUAUAUAUAUAUAUAUAGAGAGGUAUAUAGAGGAAGGUUAACAUACAAAAAGCCUUAUCAUACUUCACGUACGCGACAAGCAGAACCAUCAGAUCAGGGCCAUAAUCACGCAUGGAUCAGUUAAUCACGCAUGGGAGCAGUUAUUUGGUGUUAAUCACGCAUGGAGGUGUUAAUCACGCACGUUAUAAUGUACAAAAAAUAAUAAUCACACACGUUAUGUUUUUGGUCACGUAGGUUAAUGUAGGUUAAGCAGUUUUGUACAUUAUACUCUCUAUAUAUGUUUGUACUAUGGUUUCAGCCUUGGCGAUUUAUAGAUGUUGAAAGUGGACAUACACUGCAUCUAGUGAAUAGACAACCAUCUGAAUUUCAACCCUCAUCAGGCUCUCCCAAUGUGGAGACAGCUGCAAGGAAAGCAACGCAGGACAAGAUGAUAAUGUGACCGGUACACGUCCUCGCGUCGGGCAUGUCUCACAUAGUGUAGUUCUUGGGACAUUCGGCGUAGGAGAGCAAGAUGAAGGCGACAGUCCAGAUGUAAAUCAGGGCCUCAUCGCUAGUACCAGCACAAUGCAACCACACAUGCAGUUCAGUAUGCCCAUGCAAGUUGCUCUUGGAAAUGAGACGGGAAAUCAGUCGCAGCCUAGAAGUCCUCGUCAAUCAAUGCCUCAAGGGUAUCAAAUCCCAGUAGGAUCAGUGCCAGCUGUACCUACACUUGCGACGGUGGCUUUUUUACCAAACAAGAUAUUAAGAGCCUACCAUGUUUACAAUUACAGGUGAUGGCAAUUCCGACAACCAGGGGUAUUGAAAAAACCACCCAAUCUUUUGGCUGAAGAGCUUAAAGUGAUGUCAAAAGAAGUUGAGUAUAGCCAGUUGGCUGAUGUAGCGACAAUAAGUAGCAAGUGCUGGGAACUAUGAAGUGGAAUAUUACUACUAAGAAGGCGGUAACACGAUGAUUAUUUAACUCGCAUGAAGAUUGUGAAAGAGAUUCAUGAACACAAUGAAGUUUUGAGUUUUUAUUCAUACACUUAUUAGUUUAUUUGGAUUAUAUGUUUAAUCAUUAGACUUAGAUCGACACUUAUUAGAUAUUUGGAAUCUAUGGAAGAUUGAUUGAACUUUUAAUUGAAGUGAUUAUUUUAUGA